RNAcentral lists this long non-coding RNA (327 nucleotides) under Salvia miltiorrhiza (redroot sage). RNAcentral's name for it is "long non-coding RNA (SMIL_LNC003714)". The record is from RNAcentral. Lineage: Eukaryota; Viridiplantae; Streptophyta; Magnoliopsida; Lamiales; Lamiaceae.
GCAUAGAUGAUGGUUAUUGUUGCAUAGAUGUUGAAUGUUGUUGCAUAAAUGUUGUAUGAGUAUGAAUUUCAAUUGCAUAGAUGUUGUAUGUCGUUGCAUAGAUGUUGGGUUUUUGUUGUUUUUUUUUAUAUUGCAUAGAUUAUGGUUGUUGUUGCAUAGAUGUGCAAACUGGUUGCAUAGAUAUAAAAUUUCAAUCAAUUUUUUUGUUAAAUGUUUUUUAGAUUGCAUAGAUGAUGAUUAUUGUUACAUAGGUGUGCGAUUUUUUUGAUUGGAUGUUGUAUGAAAAUCAAUUUCAAUUGCAUAGAUGUUGUAUGUCGUUGCAUAGAU